This 234-nucleotide long non-coding RNA is filed under the name Nicotiana benthamiana. RNAcentral describes it as "long non-coding RNA (NBEN_LNC037458)". The record is from RNAcentral. Lineage: Eukaryota; Viridiplantae; Streptophyta; Magnoliopsida; Solanales; Solanaceae.
AUUCCUUAAAUUGCAUAAUCGAUUCCUGUCUCAGCCAUUCAGCAAUGCCUAUCCAAAACAAUCGAUUAUUUCACAUACAUAAUCGAUUAUUUCAUGUCAGUAAUCCAAAAGUUUGUUACCGUUUGGUCCCGUAAUCGAUUACCACAUUUGACAAUCGAUUAUUUCAUGUCAGAAAUUUAAACUCUUGUUACUGUUUGGCUCCUCAAUCGAUUUGUGUUAGUUCCAAGUCAGGUC